Non-coding RNA from Paramormyrops kingsleyae, 1757 nucleotides. NCBI's taxonomy places the organism in Eukaryota, Metazoa, Chordata, Actinopteri, Osteoglossiformes, Mormyridae. The record is from RefSeq and is a predicted model, not a curated record.
AAAAUCGGCGUAGUGCACUCGGAUAUCGGCCGAUGCCGAUACAUUAAAAAAUGAUAAAUAUCGGCCCGAUAUAACACUGACUAUAGCAUCUAACACUGACUGAGACACGGACUAAAUGCACAAGACUAGGCAAACGAAACAGGCAACAGGUGAGAACAAUCAAGGAAUCACACGAGGUAACGAGGUGGGCGUGGCACACAUCGGGAGCGGACGGAGCAGGGCGUGACAGUAUUUCUACAAAAUAUACAAAUUAAUUUCUUAGUGUAUUGUUUACGGAGGAAAUAGCCGGAAAUGGAGCAAUGUGGAGAUCAUAAUUUAAGUCAAGCAAAAAGACAGUGAUUGAGGCCCAUAUGAAUCUUCAUGUAAAAAGGGCAUUGCAUUUUAAAGACAUGGCUUCAGAUUUGCCUUUUGGACUGUUGAGGAAACUGACCUUCUUCAGGACAAGUUGCAGCCUGUAUACAGGGUAUCCAGUAUGUCUAAAAUAAGUUAUAGCACCACAAAACAUGAGGUGGUGCUCAGUGAGCGCACUUCAAACAACGAAAAGCCUGUGGACCUUAUAAUCAAGGAACAAGUGGCAAAAGAACUACUGAAUGCAUGAAGAAAUCAAAGUAUCUGAAAAGGUUUCUCAAACCAUCUUCUUACAUCGUUCCUGUGUAUUUCGAGGAUGAUGAACAGCAAAACCAUAUACCUCUCAUAUACCUUAAAGAUUCCUUGACAGGACCCCUACUGUUUUGCUGAUCUAGGAAAAAAUCUGGUUCAUUCUUGAUGUAUUGAUGCCAGAAGUAAGUGUUGAAUUAAUUUUGAAUGCACUUGAUUAAGUUGAGCUUAUUAUUUGGUAGAUAAAUCAUGAGUUUUAUUCCAGUGCACCAUCUAUGGCCUUUCUGCACUUCAUAAUACUGAUUUUAAGAAGGCAGAGGAAAUGUUCCUUGCAGACCCUCCGUUAGAUCAAAGCUACUCGUAUUUAAUCGAGUUUUAUUUUUAAUUAUUCUGUAAAAGUUAAGCAAUUUUUCUUCCUUUCAGUGAGAAAGAUGUCUUCAACGAAUUAGUUGAGAAGUACAUGAAAAGGAAAGGUGUUUGGUUGUAAGAAUUGUACUUACUAUGUUUACAUUUUUUUGUUUGUUUGAUCAGAAGACAUCUUUAAUUAGUGUGUUUUUUGUUUUUCUCUCUUCCUUUUUUAUGCUCCCCUCUCUUCCACUAUCUUUUUAUUGCUCUCUUAGUACUACAAUGUGUAUAAUUAUUUUUAUAUAGUAUUUAUACAUUUUGAUUUGUUAUAUAUCAUUGUCUUAAAUGUUUGUUUCAACUUCAAAUCUGUCAUCUGAAUUUUGCAUCAUAAUAACCUACAUAUUAGUACAUAUAACCUACAUUAUAGUAUUAAAAUAUUAACAGAUUAAUGAUAAAUAUAUGUAGUGUGUGUUCAUAAAGACGUUUAAAGGAAACAUUUUAUCAUAAUUGUUUAUAUUAAUAACCCCCCCCCCAUACAUUUGUAUUUAUUACCAAACACGUAAAUGUAAUAAAAUUUGCAAGAUUGCGGUCAUUUUGCUCUGAUUAAAAUUUUCUAAAAAUAAAUAUUUGGUGUUAUAAAACUCUUUACCAGAGUGCAUUCCACAAACAAUGUCUUAUGACAGACAUACAUUACUUGAGAUGCGAUUAUCCCCAUCAUGCAGCGACUUUUGGACUGAGUUAUGACAGAAAGUUGUGUACAAAUCAACUAAAAAACGUGUUUUUAUAAUGGGAAAAAAAAUUCAAUGUUAAGUGUA